CAGCCUCUUACCCUUUUGUUCACCUCUGGUGGACUUCAUACUUUACAGCAGACUCUAAACUCUUCAGAGAUGGGGAUUUUUAGUGCCUUGAAGGUCAAGAGCCCUGGAUUUGCAACCAGAUGCAGUCAAGCUCCCAAUCCUGAAUCCACUUCUUGGUGGCUCAACCUAUACAUCCUUUGACGUUGAAAUUUUCAUUUGUAGAGCUCAAGGAUUCAAAACUGAGUUCGUAGUCCCAACUCGGGUGUUCUCUUAUCCCCUUCCAUCCUGUUCGACUCUUGCAGCUUUGGCCCCUGGGGGCUCUUCCCGGUGGUUCCUGUGCUUUACUGUUUUGUUUCCUGAAAAUCCGCUCGCUUGCCUCCUGGAGGAUGUUAUGAUAUAAUAUUAAAACACAAAGAAGACAGAGCAGCGUUUAACAGAAUGGUUUUGGAUACGUGCACCAGCUGAUUCAAUAAAGAACAAUUUCAUUUUAAAAUCUGACAUCUAGUAGAAAGUGAGGUCCUCCGUGAAGUAGUCACUAAUUUAUUUAUUUUGUAAUGCGAUGGCUUAAGACGUGGCGGUCAUUGUUCUGGGAACUGAGGACACGGAGGCCCUUCUCUGUCAGAGACGACGUCCUCCUUGCGGAAGAGACGAACACACGGAGGCAGUUCUCGCUUCGUAUGGUGUCGAUGUGCACAAAUGUCAGCCAGUCCUUCGACACACGCUUCCAGUUUUAUUUACCCCAGGGAAUUUACCACGGACAAUUGCAUGAAGUAUAAACGUUCUCGCCGGGUCUUCUUUAGCCGCAGGUCCCUACGUAACUAACAGAUGCACAUUACGGUAAGUCAGCAUCACGUCUUUCAAAGCCCACAGGGGUUGAUCACUGUGACUCUGUCACUCGGUUUACCACAGCAGCAGAGCAGGUGGUCGUGUUGUCUCCUGGUCUCCCGGCGAUGAACCUGGGUGACAUUGUGCAAAAGUGAGUGAUGGCAAAAAGGGAAUGGGCCCAAGGCAGACAGUGCAGUGGAGAAACGAGAGGGUUGGAGGGGAAGUUCAAACCCAAUGGGAGUGGGGUUCAUGAAGGCACAGAGACCCUCAUGGGAAUGCGGCCCGGGAUACUGUUCCCAAGCAUCCAGAUAUGCAGCCAGAGGAGGAGAGUGAGGAUAAACUUACCACGUCGCUGAGGAAAGUGGGGGAGGAAGGUAGGGUGACAAUGUCCCGGACGAAGUGAUGCCAGCAAAUAUUCACAUUAAUGUUGUAAAGAUUUCACAGCGUCGGAAGUGCCAAGGGUGGAGUGUUGGAAGCUGAUCCCAAGUGAGAAAGGAGGGAAAUAAUCCAGACGCUUGCUCUAUAUGGGAAACUGUGCCGUCAGAGGAAGGCAGGCCCUCUGCAAACUACUCUUGAUAAGUCUUUGCAAACAAAUAAAACUCUUCCCUUUUCAACGUUUCUAAUAUUUCAAAAGCCCGUAUACCAGGUGAAUAAUAGUUUCACUGUUUUUUUAUGUCCCGAUACAUUCCUAACUGACAGUUGGUGGGCUUCUAAUGUGUUGAAAAAAGUUUUUCAAGGGCACAGAAAAUUGUUAUGCUUCCCAGUGAUUAUUGAGAUCGCUUCGCGUGGUUUCUGCUGUGCCGUCAUUGCUUGGGUCCUGCAUCACCGUGCAGAGCGAGCACUGCCUUGUUUAUCAUGUCAGCUGAUCGUAAGUUUUAGGGAAACAGCUCAGUUUGGGUAUGAGCUGUGAAAACACAGAGUGAGAGUGGAAUUGGUAUUUUACAUGGGGUGGCUUUUGGAAGGUGCUUCUCGUAAAGGGACAUAUCAGCAGAGCUUGAAAGGGGGAGAGACUGAGCCGUGCACAGAAGGGAGACAAUUUGACCUCCAUUUCCAUAGGAUCACUGUGGUGGAACCCGGAGAGUCUGUUAGGGACGUGGCAAUGGUCCAGGAAGCGAUGCUGGUGGCCGGGACCAGGGGGCAGCCCAGGAGCGAGCAGUGUGCAGGUGCUGGGUGGAGCUCCCUGGUGGGCGGGAGGAGGCUUGCCCUCGCUCCUGAGAGCUUUCCAGGAAUUUUGCAAGCUACUUGUUCCACUGUUGGCAGCUUGAAAUUGGCCGCAUUGGGAGUGUAGUCACCGCAGAAGUGGACAAGCACUACAAAUCAGGCUUCUUUUUCUUUCUGAGCAUGGAUUGUUGAACAUUUACCAUGUCACCACUGGACAUAGCAUUAUGAAGGCAGAAUUGAACACGGGGUAUAAAGAAGGAAACCAGGGAAGGAUCCAGGUUUCUGGACUGCCAGCACCUAUACACGAUCAGGAAAGAUGAAGCUGAGUGGGGAGCUGGUGUCCUCGUCACAGGGAGAGGAAGGAAACUUCUCUCUACUUUGAGUAGAAGGACAUGUAGGCAAAGGGGAAGGAGAAUCAUUUCUCUUUUCCACCCAGGAUGGGAUUCGUUUGCAUUCAGGAGGCAUUGGAGAACCUCACUGAGGCUGGCGAGUCUGGGGGUUGGCAGGAAUGGCCCAUGAGAGCACGGCCUUGAGUGUGUACUUAAUGGCCACGGUCCCCAGGAAAUGGAUGAGAGAUAGCCUGGUACACGUACACGUGACUUGUUUCUCACAUUCUAGGAAGAUACCCAUCUGUCAGUUUCCAGAGCACGUUCCCAUGGCCCCUGCUCAGGACCAGCUAUGAAGACCAGCUCUGGGGCAUCAAGGACUGGGACAGGAGCAGCAGGAACUGUGGGCAGGUGGGCGCUGACCCUGUGUGACCUGUGGGCUGCCCCUUCCACUGACCUGGCUCCUUCUGGGACUGACCUGGCCCUGUCCUCCUUGUCCAUAACUCACCAGUCAAUCCAUUGCUUCCAGCGGACAUAGAUGGCAGAGACAGAGACGAGCAGCAGCAGCUUGGGGCCCAAGGAGAGAGCCACCAGGAGUGGAGUGGACAGUUCUCGAUCUGGAAAUGAAGGGACAGGAGGCAGCAUCAGAGAGGGAUCCAGGAGUCCACUCCCAGGGGCCUCAACUUACUCCAUCUGAGGAGACCUGGUCCCAUCAAUGCUCUGAAGCUCAUGAAUUUCCCCUGGGAGAAGCUCGAGGCAGAAUUCAGAAUAAGAAGUACCUCAUCUUGCUCACCCUCUCUCAGGCUACCGGGUGUCCUUCCUGAGGGAAGGGGUGGAGACAAAGAGAACUCCACAACACGCAAGUGGGCUUUACUGACUUGUCCCCACACCCAAUGGGGCAUGUCUGAUGCUCUCUUUCUGAGAAGGGAACAGGCUCAUAGUUUACGGAGGGUCAUCGGAUGAGUGGGAAAUCAUUCACUGCUGUCCCGUAGGAUGGAUCUGCGACCUUGUCUUUGGACCAGGACGCGUUCAACCUUUCAGGGUCAUAGAAACGAAUAUCAGCCCAGCCUCGAGUACAGUGAGGACAGUGUCGUGGUGACCGAGGUGCAAGUCUGCCCAGCUUGUUCCACACUCAGGCCUCGAUGUUCUCACGUGCUGAGGGAGCUCUCAGAGUGCCCUGACCUCACGAGACCUGCUGGCUGGACAACACCUGAGGGAGGCAAGGAAACUCUCAGGAGGGCUUUCAAACACCAUCCAGCCCACCUGGACCCCAGUGCCAGCAUCAGUUUGCAAGAAAACACAUCACCCCUGGAGAAGUGGCACUUACGCGUCUGACAGAGCGAGACAAAUAGAUUCAGUCAUAUGCUUGGUUCAAAUGUGGAUAGAAUCUCUGCACAUGGCAGGUAUAGCUACCAAGUCCGAGGAGGGUGAAGCUGGAACAUUGUCCCUGUAAGGGGAACUGACACAGCCCAGAGAAAGCAGGCAAUUACUAUAGAAAGUCCACUGUGGGAGCCUGGAAAUUCCUGGAGAUGGGUCAUCUGCCCAGGGUCUGUCCCAGAGGAGGAUUCAGGUACUUGUUAACAGAUUCCUGCAUAGGUAAAUGCGUGGCUGAAUGAGAGUGUGCUUCGAGUGAAUGCAUGCUUGAUGCAUGGUCGGAUCAAGGAAUGCAUGCAGAAAAGAAUGAAUGGGAUUGACGAAAGCCUCAAAAUCUUGCUCUCUCUUUUUUUUUCCACUUUGGCCAUGUAAGAUGCAAAGAUGAACAUUAAAUACCAUUUAAAAGCCUACAGGUCAGGUGACUCACUCUACGAUUUGGUAAUUCUAACAUUUUAAGAUUCACAGACUCUACAUCUCUUUGACUCCAAGAGACUGAGAUUUUACAUAGGAAGGAACUAGGACUUGGAGAGGUUCAGUAAUCUGCCCAAGGUCACAAGUGGCAAAGCUGGGGUCACACCAGACACAGCGUGUUUUACUGUCGUGCUAGUCGGACACCCCAACUUUCAAGCUCUAUGCGUUUAUGAUUCCUGGCUUCUGAAAUUAUGAUCUAACGACUUCUAGAACUCUUUGCAACUGGGUUUUCAGCUGUGCAGUAGAAUGAGGAAAAACAAUGAGGAAAAACAGCACAAUUGUUAAAUACUAUAAGAUGUUAUAUAUUUCAGUAGAAUUCAUAGGAAGUCACAGUAUGACAUAGGCUAACACUAAGCCAAAGGCAGGGAGACUGGGUUGUGGUCCCUACACUGACACCACAGCCCAAUGCAGGGGAAUGGCAGGGAAGCCACAUGUUUCAGCUUGAGGGAAAGAUGUGAAUGUUCCAUGGCCAGUGGAUGGCAUGGAAUGUGAUUGGACUUGGAGAGAACAUUACUGAGGAAAGCUAGUUUUCCCAGAAGAACAGAUGGACACCCUAAUGACACUGUAUUUGACGAAAUUAAUGCAAAUUGAGCAGCAGGAAACACUGGUUGUCCUCAGAGAAUCAGAGAACAGCAGAGCUGAGGAUAGACCAGGGCAGACCAUGGAAAGAUCAAGUGCCAGGAGAGAGACUCAACCCCUCCGGGACAACUAAUCCAAAUGAGACCUGGGAGCGGGUGACACACAAGAACCUUCCUGCUGGUGUCUCGGCUCCCCAGAAGCCAUAGGAGUAGACCACAGCCACGCGUGGAUUUCCUGUGUGGGGAUCGAUGUCUUGACUGUGUUGUGGUGACCCUUCAGGGAGCUGUCACCAGGCCCCAGUGACAUUCCAGUUAGAAAUGAGUGAGUGGAAUUGUGCAGGCUUGUAGAGGUUCUGCCUGCCUUUGGAUCCCUUUGUUUUGUCUCAGGAGAUACUAAGCUUGGGGGCUACCUUUCUCCAUGUUGAGAUUCCAUCCAAAUCCAGAGGAUUAUAUGGGGCUACAGUGUCUGUGAUUUAUGUUUGGAGUCAGGAAGUAGGCCAAAAAAGAUACAAUGCAUAUUCUUGAGCUCAGGUUUGUCCCUAAACCUCAGG
Neofelis nebulosa (Clouded leopard) is the source of this 5265-nucleotide long non-coding RNA. RefSeq lists it as uncharacterized. The record is from RefSeq and is a predicted model, not a curated record. Lineage: Eukaryota; Metazoa; Chordata; Mammalia; Carnivora; Felidae. The transcript has 4 exons.